GUAGUUUAAUUCCAGUGAGAAAAAAUGCAUGUAUGGUGCAGGUCCAUCGUUCCCAAACGGCUUAACUCACACUUUGGGGAGGGGACAAAGCAUCUUAUGGACAUAAAGUUCCCCGGAACAUUCUUGAGAAAAUGCUUGCCUGGGAAUGCGUUUCGCCUUCCCUCUCUGACUAAGGGAGAAUACACUUAGAGCUGGAAGAAAGGGUUUGGGGCUGAAAAAUUAGAGUAACUGGCCCUGGAAGCUGCCGACUGGCCAGAUGUUGUAGGGAUGCAACUUGUUGAGUUGUGGAUGUGAUUUCUUUGGACGCAUAUACCACGAAUCCCUUGAGACCUAAGGAGAAACAUAGUCUUAUUUUGAUUCAGUAUAAAAACUCAACUUGGGUUGAUUUCAGGGGAGCCAAGACUGGCCUACAGAGGAAGUAUGCAUAUUUGGAAGAGCUGGGAAAGUCCUUAAGAAAGCUCCUUCAUGUAGCAAGUAUCUCCCAGCUGGAGAUUAGGAGGUCACUAUUUCAGAUUUAUUUCUUGCGAUUAAAUCUGUUCUUCAGCCAAGACUGUUUCCUUCAGUUACAAGUGUCUCUGGAGGGAUGAAUGAGAGAGGCAGACCCGUGCGAUGGCCGAGCACCCAGUUUCAAAAUGUCCUAUCUGGUCCCAUCCAGGCUCUGCCACUUCUUAACAAUAAUCUGGGAACGUCCCUGUCCUCUAAGUCUAAAUGUCUUCAUCUGUAAAAUGAAGGUAAUAGUAAUGUCCACUUCUUAAAAAUCUAGUAAAGAUUAUAAUGUUGCAUAAAUAAAGCAUUUUGCUCAGUGACUCACUAGCCCACAGUAAGUGCUCAAUAAACCUUAGCUAUUAUGUAUGACAGGCUAUUAUUAACCCUUAUUGGCCCUUAUCAUUAGAGCACAUUUAAUUUACCAGAUUGAUUUCCACAGCGAUAGCUCCCUAGGAAUAGUGGACAGGACAGAGGGAGAGAGAGAGAAAUCUUCCUUGCUCCAUGAGGAAGAUACAGCGAUAGUGUGUAUACAGGUCAGGCAAGAGAGGCAAGUUUAGGCAUGAGAUGUUCCUAGAUUCCAGUCCUGAUUUUGCUACUUGAAGUUCUGGGGAUAAUGGGAAUUUACUUAGUUCUCUGGGCCUCAGGUUCUAUUUCCAUAAAAAAGUGGAAAGUAAUCCUACCAUCUUUCUAAAGCACUAGCUGGAAUAAGGUAGGGAGAGAAUAAAUGAGUACAUGAUAAAUAACAGCUACCUUAUGUGGGGCUCAACCCAUUGGAGCUCUUCUUCACGGGAAGGCGCUGGGUACCAGGUGGGAGCUGAGCAUCCCAGGGAAGAAGACAGCGCAGUGUGGCAGGUGGUCCUUAGAAUGGGAGAGAGAAGUGAAUCAAGGACAAUCCUCACUUCACAAUUUUAUUCUAAGUCACUGUCGAAGUAUUUUGGUUACACUGAAGCUUUCUUUCUUUUUCAUCAUAUCAUGGACAUAUAUGGGAGUGAUGGCUUUUAAUGCUUUGGACUCAGCUUGCUGCAAACUGCACACAAAUCUGAUGAAGGAGUGAACACAGCUGGUGUCAGAGGCUGGGAGGAUCCUAGUUCCCCAACCAGGGAUCAGACCCACAGCCAUUGCAGUGGAAGCAGAGUCUUAACCACUGGACCACCAGGGAAGUCCUUGCCAUUGCCUUCUAAUGGGUGGCCUUAGUAUCUGAAGGGGCCGUCUCUUUUGCUGAGGUCUCAAUGUGAGCCUAGGAGUUAAGAGGAUGUUGGAUAGGGUGGAUAUAAAUUGUUCUGGUAAGAAACAGAAGAGAUAUAGAUGCCUGGGGAAAUAUCCUGGAAUGUGAAAGCCUAGAGCUACCUGGGAUGGAAAUUGGAGGGGGAAGGACUGAGAAGGAACCCCUCUGGUUGGAUGAAAAGUUUGGGGUGGAAGAAACAUGCUGAAUUGGGAUGUUUGAAUUUGUGUGUUGAGAGCUGGGCUGUCUGACUUCCCUGGGAAAUGGUGGUUACUGGCUGAGAAGUCUAUCCUUAUGGAUAUCUGAACCUAUUUCUCCCCACUUUUCUCCAAGAAAACAAUCCAUAAACAUUUUUCCAAAAUUAGCCUUCCUGCAAAAGGAUGACUUCUCCCUGUUGCAUGUCUCAUCACGAGAGAAGAGUGUAACACUCAAUUCUGUUUGUGUGAUGAAUUUUGUGAUGAACAGGCAUGUGGAACAGUUUCUCUCAUUUCUAGCUGUCCACGCUAAUAAGCCUGAUUCUUGCUGCAUUUUGGAGGAAGAAGAGAAGGGCGUCGUUGGGCUCAUAUGCAUUUGCUGUGGCUCCACCCAGAUGUUCCACCAGGUGACCUCCAUGUGGAUGGGUGCCUGCUUCUUAUCAGCCUCUCUCACUCAAAAGCUCCAUUAGACUGCGGAUCUAGUCUACCCUGUUAACUGCUGUAUUCCCAGUGUUCAGAACAGUGUCACGUGGUAGGCCUUUAACAUUUGUUGAACAAGUGAAUAAAAUAUAGUUCAGCUUCUAUAUUUCUUUUGCUUUCUAAAGUUGCAGUUUGUAUAUGCUGCACUGGCUGAAAAUAUAGGUUCUGUAUAGAUUAGUUUAUCCUCAUUGCAAUAAUUAAAAAAUUGUAUGAUAAUAAUGAACUGACAAAAUGACUUUCAAUUUCCCUUUCUAAUCUUACUGUUUCCAUACCAAAGGAUUUCAAGUGUUCCCACAAAUCACCAUCGUCAUACAAACAAGUAAAGUAAAAAUCAACAUCUCAAAACAAUCCCAAGUUUCAAAAUUUAACAGCUGAGAGAAGGAAAUUAAGAUAGGAAGGGCUGGGCUUGGUUUGUACUUGCAGUUUCUUUUCACUUGCUAAUGGAUACCUUACUUUUCCUCUUUAUGACAUGCAGACUGCGAUUUCCAGUAAUAUAUUUAAUUUAGUCCAGCUAUAAUAAAAUAUACCUUUUUUGUGAAUGCACUUAACAUCUACAAAGUACUGGAUGGGAAAUAGCUCAAAGCAGAAAAAUAUUUUGGUUAAAGAUUGAAGCAAAAUACAUUAAAAAUUUACUUGAAAAUUUGUCAAGUUCAAAAACAUCUCUCACCAAAGGAAUAUUAACUAAUAUCCACUGAUUAAAUUAAAAACUGAAAGAUGAAAAUUAUGUAGACAUUUAGCUCAAGAUACUCGAGAAAAAAAGACAGAGUAAACAAAAAACAAGGGAAAGGAAGAAAUGAAAAUAAAUGUAGAAAUUAGUGAGUUAGAAGGCAAGUACUCAUACUCUAAGGUAAAAAGCUAAUGAGCUUGACUAUGUCAAAAUUAAAGACUCCUGCUAAAUAAAAGGCAACAUAGAAAAGCUGAGAUGCACAGUAUAUUAAGAGAAGGUAUUUGCAAUAUUUAUAACUGACAAGUAAUAAAUCUAGAAAACACAAGGAAUUCCUGCAAAUGGAUAAAAACAGCAACAUCAACCACCACCACAAAUGAAAUACCCUGGAAGAAAAUGAGUGAAGAUUCCUAGAAAUAGAAAGCAGAAUGGAUAACAAGCAUAUCAACAGACGGUUAACCUCACGAUAGGAACUUGAUGAAAAUAAUGAGAAAACAUUAGCUCCCUUAAGAAGAGUAAAUAAUUAGAAAAUCAGGUUGUUGGGCCGCACCCCGCAGGCUUGCACGCCUUAUAGUUGCCCAGCCUUGAGACUGAAGAAAGAGACCAGAGACGGCGACAGAGACAGCAACAGUUCAUUGGACAGGGGUCUUACCGGUCUGAAGCAGAAGGGUCCUGGAGCGACAUCCCACUGUGAACUGCAGACCGCCAGGCAGGACAUGGCAACCAUUUGCACUAUCUGGGGGAGAAGGAGGCUACCAUUUACAGGCGGAAUUGACAUCUGAUUGGCCCAUCAAUUACCAGGGAAACCAGCGGCUGGGGCAGAGGCAAGCAUGUAGGCAGGGACUAAUUAAGCCCUGUAAUCAAGCGUAUUGGCGGUCCGGUGGUUAAGACUCCGCGCUUCCAAUUCAGGGCGUGAGGGUGCGUUCCCUGGUUGCGGAGCUAAGAUCCCGCAUGCUGCAUGGCACGGCCAGGGGAAAAAAAAAAAAAAAAAAGAGUAUUGGAUAGUCAUGUGUGUCAAGCAGGGCCGGUUGAGCAGGAGAUGUACAGAGAGCAAGAGAACAGCCAUCUUGGAUGGCCUGACUAUACGCAGAUAUUAUUACCAUGUUAGCAGGGAUGUGUGGGAAAUAAGAACCUCCUUGCACUGCAGGUGGAGAGCAACCUAGACAUAUUGGAGAAAUGGCCUGUCUACAUACUGCAAUUAGCAACAUUUCUGGGUAUAACUCAGGGCUAUGGCAUGGAAUUUUGGCCCUUUAGGGAAAAUUGUUUUCGGGUCUCCUAUCAAGGGUGGACUUCCUCAAACACCUUUACAUGGGAUUUGUACUGAUAUCACGCUAGGCCCUUGUACCCUUCCAGAUGGUUGGUAAUUUGUAUCAGCUCCUCCCACCCCUCAUUUUCCCUCUGUAUAGCAUUGAGAAAGUCUCACACAGAUUCUUAAGAGGAUGUGUUAGAGGAUAUUCAUUGAAGAGGUGUCCAUGUUAGCAGGUGUCCAUCCCUCGGGGCAUGGAUAAGUUAAGGAUGGUGCACAUAUGACAUGGAAUACUACACACCUGUUAGAAGAGAUGAAUUAGAUGAGUACUGUUGUAGGCUGAAUAAUGGUCCUCUAAGGAUGGCCACGUUUUAAUCCCCAGAACCUGUGCAGAUGUGAUUAAGUAAUGUUAAGAGUCUUGAGGUGGGGGAAGAGUAUCCUGGAUUACCCAGGUGGGCCCAGUGCAAUAACAGGAGUCCUUAACAGAGGAAGGCAGUAGGAUCACAGGAGUAGGAGAUGUAAUGAAGGAAGCAAGAAGCUGGCAUGAAGGAAGGGGUCAUGAGCCCAGGAAUGCAGGUGGCCUCUGGAAGCUGAAAAAGUCAAGGACACAAGAUUCUUCCCUAAGAGUCUUUGAAAAAACCAACCCUGGCAACGCUUUGACGUUAGCCCAGUGACUUAAGGUGGUAGUUGAUAUUAACUUUGAACUUCUGAUCUCCAGAACCAUACGAUAAUAACUUUUGUUGUUUUAAGCUUCUGAAUUUGAGAUAAUUUGUUAUGGCAGCAAUAAGAAACUAAUAUAAGCAUACAAUAUGGAUAGGUUUAAAAAUUACAGAGUGAAAUAAAUAAAAAAGAUAUUAUGUUUUUCUAGAAAACACACUGAUCCAAGAACUGGAAGAAGUCUAUUUAGGAGAAAGGAAUGGGGGUAGGGAUUACAGUAAAGUAAAAAAAUAAAUAAAAGAAUUGAAAUAGAGAGUCUUGUACAGAGCAAUUGUAAAAAUGAGUCAUAAAGAAGGAAGUAUGAUUAACUCUUAUCUCUGCACCUGAGAUUCCCUGUAACACUCCUCCUAUCAAAUUAAAAAAAGAAAGAAAGAAAGAAAGAA
Long non-coding RNA from Aethalodelphis obliquidens (Pacific white-sided dolphin), 5392 nucleotides. RefSeq lists it as uncharacterized. The record is from RefSeq and is a predicted model, not a curated record. The transcript has 3 exons. Lineage: Eukaryota; Metazoa; Chordata; Mammalia; Artiodactyla; Delphinidae.